This is a long non-coding RNA of Raphanus sativus (radish), 474 nucleotides long. RefSeq lists it as uncharacterized. The record is from RefSeq and is a predicted model, not a curated record. The transcript is spliced from 2 exons. Lineage: Eukaryota; Viridiplantae; Streptophyta; Magnoliopsida; Brassicales; Brassicaceae.
UCCUUUAGAAACCAAAUCUCUCUAUCCUAUCCUUUAGAAACAAAAUAUCUUACGCCAUCAAAAUAAGCAGCAGCGUCUUCAUCAUGUCUCCAGUCCCAACUCGAUCUCCUCCUCCGAUACCGUAAAUCAGGUUGUGUCAUGUGUGUAUAAUCGAGAGAUGUAGGAACAAGGAAGGUUAUGUUCCGAUGGUGUACACCUGGCUAUCUUCUUAUUGGAAACACAGGAAUGGAGAAUGGGGUUGUUGUGGUCAGGUUACUCUUGAGGCUGCUGCAUUGUACCUAACACAACCAAAGUCCGUCGUAGCUGUUUUGUUUUGCUGUUAUAAUUGUAGUUUGGUGUUUGGAUGUUUCAUUGAAAUGAGACAUUGUUAGUUACCUAUUCUUGCAGAAGUCUAUCAUUGAUGCCUACAAAUCUUCAGUAAAGAGUGUUUUUUUUUCAGUUAUGAUAAUAAUAUGUGUGUUGGCUUUUGGAUCA